AGUGAACGCUGGCGGCAGGCCUAAUACAUGCAAGUCGAACGGCAGCACAGCAGAGCUUGCUCUGUGGGUGGCGAGUGGCGGACGGGUGAGCAAUGCUUGGGAAUCUGCCUAUCAGUGGGGGACAACCCGGGGAAACUCGGGCUAAUACCGCAUACGUUCUUCGGAAGAAAGCGGGGGUCGCAAGACCUCGCGCUGAUAGAUGAGCCCAAGUCGGAUUAGCUAGUUGGUGAGGUAAAGGCUCACCAAGGCGACGAUCCGUAGCUGGUCUGAGAGGACGACCAGCCACACCGGAACUGAGACACGGUCCGGACUCCUACGGGAGGCAGCAGUGGGGAAUAUUGGACAAUGGGCGAAAGCCUGAUCCAGCGACGCCGCGUGGGUGAAGAAGGCCUGCGGGUUGUAAAGCCCUUUCGUUGGGGAAGAAAAGUGUCGACCUAAUACGUCGGCACCUUGACGUUACCCAAAGAAGAAGCACCGGCUAACUCUGUG
RNAcentral lists this ribosomal RNA (489 nucleotides) under uncultured bacterium. Its description in RNAcentral is "bacterial SSU rRNA". It matches the Rfam family "Bacterial small subunit ribosomal RNA", at positions 29 to 507 of the family's 1533-position model. The record is from RNAcentral.